Molecule: ribosomal RNA, 232 nt
Filed under: uncultured Sphingomonadales bacterium
Lineage: Bacteria; Pseudomonadati; Pseudomonadota; Alphaproteobacteria; Sphingomonadales
Description: partial 16S ribosomal RNA
Rfam family: Bacterial small subunit ribosomal RNA
Source: RNAcentral
UUCGGCCUUAGUGGCGCACGGGUGCGUAACGCGUGGGAAUCUGCCCCUCGGUUCGGAAUAACAGUUGGAAACGACUGCUAAUACCGGAUGAUGACGUAAGUCCAAAGAUUUAUCGCCGAGGGAUGAGCCCGCGUAGGAUUAGCUAGUUGGUGUGGUAAAGGCGCACCAAGGCGACGACCCUUAGCUGGUCUGAGAGGAUGAUCAGCCACACUGGGACUGAGACACGGCCCAG